ACUGUAGGAGAGUGGAUCAAACAAAAAUUUGACAUUUAAUUUUAUAUUGAAUUGAUGAGUAUGCUGUCUUUGUAUUUUUUAAUAGAUCUCAGAAAUGACAGAAGAAAUGAAAAUCAUCACAUCAGAGAGAGACCAGCUGGCUGAGGAGAAAUCAGGAAGUAAUAGCUGUAGAGAAAGUGAUCAGCUUCAGGUGCAAAAGGAACAAAUAAUAUUACUUACACAAGAGAACCAUUCAUUGCAGGAGAAGCUGGACAGUUUACUUUUGAAAAAAGAGGAGCUUGGGGAAGGAACUUUGAUACCACAGAUUCAAGGACAAUCUAUGGAGCAAGAGUUAUUUCUUCUGAGAGAAGAGCUGAGCCAGGCACAACGGAAAUUGCAUGAAAUGGAGGAAGCAAGGACCAGUGACUAUCAAGGGGAAUCUGAAAAAAUGGAGAGACCAGAUGUUACUCCAAAACCACAUGACUCCCAGGAAGUCAGCACCCAGACAGAAAGAGAUGAUGAUAAGGAAUUUAAAAUGCAACUGGAAAAUCUCCAGAAUGAGAGAGACCAGCUUAAAGAAACUCUACAGGAGACAAUUAGCAAGGUAAUAAAAGUAGUUCUCCUCCCAUAGGAGAACAGCUUUUGUAGACUUCCUAGCUUUUGCAAGUGUUGUUCAGGUGUUAAUGUACUUUAAUUGUGUCCAAAGAACUCGGAGAUGCAGGAGGAGUUGAGAUGUACUCAUGAAUCUCUUGGACAACAUCAGGAGAAGAUUGUGGAGCUGCAAGGAAGUAUUUCAGAGAAAGAAAAUCAGCUCUUGAAGGUGCAAGGGGCAUUGAAAGAAACAACUGAUGAACUGCAGCAGAAGGUCAGAAGCAGUUUUGUCAAGAAAAUUACAAGUUCUGCUGGGUUUGGCAGCCCAUGUCCACUGCAUACUUCCUUUUCUAGGGCUCAAGUACAUCUAAUAAGGAAACCUAUUAUUUAUAACUAAAUAUGUCUUGAUGCUGAAAGACUGAAUAUUAUUUCAAGCCAAUAAUGCACUUUAACCUCUCUCCAAUUUCCCAGUGAUCAUUUUAUUCAUUCC
This 1060-nucleotide long non-coding RNA is filed under the name Chloebia gouldiae (Gouldian finch). RNAcentral's name for it is "Erythrura gouldiae (Gouldian finch) lncRNA (ENSEGOG00005011235.1)". Lineage: Eukaryota; Metazoa; Chordata; Aves; Passeriformes; Passeridae. The record is from RNAcentral.